AGCUUGCUGGGGUACACGAGUGGCGAACGGGUGAGUAACACGUGGGUGACCUGCCCUGCACUUCGGGAUAAGCCUGGGAAACUGGGUCUAAUACCGGAUAGGACCGCACCGUGAGGGUGUGGUGGAAAGUUUUUUCGGUGUGGGAUGGGCCCGCGGCCUAUCAGCUUGUUGGUGGGGUAAUGGCCUACCAAGGCGGCGACGGGUAGCCGGCCUGAGAGGGUGGACGGCCACAUUGGGACUGAGACACGGCCCAGACUCCUACGGGAGGCAGCAGUGGGGAAUAUUGCACAAUGGGCGGAAGCCUGAUGCAGCGACGCCGCGUGGGGGAUGACGGCCUUCGGGUUGUAAACUCCUUUCACCAUCGACGAAGGGUUUCUGACGGUAGAUGGAGAAGAAGCACCGGCUAACUACGUGCCAGCAGCCGCGGUAAUACGUAGGGUGCGAGCGUUGUCCGGAAUUACUGGGCGUAAAGAGCUCGUAGGUGGUUUGUCGCGUCGUCUGUGAAAUUCCGGGGCUUAACUCCGGGCGUGCAGGCGAUACGGGCAUAACUUGAGUACUGUAGGGGAGACUGGAAUUCCUGGUGUAGCGGUGAAAUGCGCAGAUAUCAGGAGGAACACCGGUGGCGAAGGCGGGUCUCUGGGCAGUAACUGACGCUGAGGAGCGAAAGCAUGGGGAGCGAACAGGAUUAGAUACCCUGGUAGCCAUGCCGUAAACGGUGGGCGCUAGGUGUGGGUUUCCUUCCACGGGAUCCGUGCCGUAGCUAACGCAUUAAGCGCCCCGCCUGGGGAGUACGGCCGCAAGGCUAAAACUCAAAGGAAUUGACGGGGGCCCGCACAAGCGGCGGAGCAUGUGGAUUAAUUCGAUGCAACGCGAAGAACCUUACCUGGGCUUGACAUAUACAGGAUCGCGCCAGAGAUGGUGUUUCCCUUGUGGCUUGUAUACAGGUGGUGCAUGGUUGUCGUCAGCUCGUGUCGUGAGAUGUUGGGUUAAGUCCCGCAACGAGCGCAACCCUUGUCUUAUGUUGCCAGCACGUUGUGGUGGGGACUCGUAAGAAACUGCCGGGGUUAACUCGGAGGAAGGUGGGGAUGACGUCAAAUCAUCAUGCCCCUUAUGUCCAGGGCUUCACACAUGCUACAAUGGUCGGUACAGUGGGUUGCCAGUCCGUGAGGGCGAGCUAAUCCCGCAAAGCCGGUCUCAGUUCGGAUCGGGGUCUGCAACUCGACCCCGUGAAGUCGGAGUCGCUAGUAAUCGCAGAUCAGCAACGCUGCGGUGAAUACGUUCCCGGGCCUUGUACACACCGCCCGUCACGUCAUGAAAGUCGGUAACACCCGAAGCCAGUGGCCUA
RNAcentral lists this ribosomal RNA (1345 nucleotides) under Corynebacterium amycolatum. RNAcentral describes it as "16S ribosomal RNA". It matches the Rfam family "Bacterial small subunit ribosomal RNA", at positions 77 to 1437 of the family's 1533-position model. The record is from RNAcentral. Lineage: Bacteria; Bacillati; Actinomycetota; Actinomycetes; Mycobacteriales; Corynebacteriaceae.